CAACAAAAAACAGAAGUGAUGUGGAUGUCUUCGCCUUAUAGCAUGACACUGUCAAUCUAACAACAACGAGAAGGGCGUUCAACAUUAUCCUGCUAGUAAGGACUCUUCAAGAGAACAAAUGAUUCUUGUGGCAGAGAUGGCCAACCAUUAUAAAUACCAAAUACCUUUCAACUCAUCCUGGUUCCUUCAGAGAACUGUCCUGCUUGUGUGCUACUGAAAAAUACGACAUGUGGCCUAAACGAAGAGGGUUUAAAAGGUCUGUGGAUCAUCAUUCUCAGAAAGCAACAAAAUAACUGAGAAAAAAAAAACUACGACAGGAGGGUGCAAGCUAGAGACCUGCAAGGUACCUGCAUGUUUUGGCCGGAGCA
Molecule: long non-coding RNA, 368 nt
Organism: Danio aesculapii
Lineage: Eukaryota; Metazoa; Chordata; Actinopteri; Cypriniformes; Danionidae
Exons: 3
Source: RefSeq, a predicted model, not a curated record